UGGCCUAUGGUGUAAUUGGCAACACUACUGAUUUUGGUUCAGUCAUUCUAGGUUCGAUCCUAGUAGGCCAA
Molecule: transfer RNA, 71 nt
Filed under: Aureicoccus marinus
Lineage: Bacteria; Pseudomonadati; Bacteroidota; Flavobacteriia; Flavobacteriales; Flavobacteriaceae
Rfam family: tRNA
About the family: Transfer RNA (tRNA) molecules are approximately 80 nucleotides in length. Their secondary structure includes four short double-helical elements and three loops (D, anti-codon, and T loops).
Source: Rfam by way of RNAcentral